CUCAAAUGUAUGUUGACGUAUUCUGAAACGGGAUACUUCUUCGGACAAUAUACAAGGUGCUGCAUGGUUGUCGUCAGCUCGUGCCGUGAGGUGUCGGGUUAAGUCCCAUAACGAGCGCAACCCCUAUCAUUAGUUGCCAUCAGGUCAAGCUGGGGACUCUAAUGAAACUGCCUACGCAAGUAGUGAGGAAGGUGGGGAUGACGUCAAAUCAGCACGGCCCUUACGUCCAGGGCUACACACGUGCUACAAUGGCCGGUACAAAGGGCAGCUACCUGGUGACAGGAUGCUAAUCUCAAAAGCCGGUCUCAGUUCGGAUCGGAGUCUGCAACCCGACCCCGUGAAGCUGGAAUCGCUAGUAAUCGCGCAUCAGCCAUGGCGCGGUGAAUACGUUCCCGGGCCUU
Molecule: ribosomal RNA, 401 nt
Filed under: uncultured Sphingobacteriales bacterium
Lineage: Bacteria; Pseudomonadati; Bacteroidota; Sphingobacteriia; Sphingobacteriales
Description: bacterial SSU rRNA
Rfam family: Bacterial small subunit ribosomal RNA
Source: RNAcentral